This 772-nucleotide ribosomal RNA is filed under the name uncultured bacterium. RNAcentral's name for it is "bacterial SSU rRNA". It matches the Rfam family "Bacterial small subunit ribosomal RNA", at positions 12 to 785 of the family's 1533-position model. The record is from RNAcentral.
UUUGAUCCUGGCUCAGAAUGAACGUUGGCGGCGUGGAUUAGGCAUGCAAGUCGAGCGAGAACCCGCAAGGGGGACAGCGGCAAACGGGGUAGUAACGGGUAGGCAACGUACCCUCGGGUCGGGGAUAGCCACGGGAAACUGUGGGUAAUACCCGAUAAUCUCUGCGGUGGUAAGUAUCGCAGAGCAAAGGUGUGAUUCCACCGGAGGAGCGGCCUGCUUCGUAUUAGCUAGUUGGUGAGGUAACGGCUCACCAAGGCGACGAUGCGUAGGGGGUGUGAGAGCAUGACCCCCACCACUGGGACUGAGAUACUGCCCAGACACCUACGGGUGGCUGCAGUCGAGAAUCUUCGGCAAUGGGCGCAAGCCUGACCGAGCGACGCCGCGUGUGGGAUGAAGGCCCUUGGGUUGUAAACCACUGUCAGAGGGGAUGAAAUGCGGGAGAGCUAUCUCUUCCGUUUGACAUAGCCUCAGAGGAAGCACGGGCUAAGUUCGUGCCAGCAGCCGCGGUAAUACGAACUGUGCAAACGUUAUUCGGAAUCACUGGGCUUACAGGGUGCGUAGGCGGUCUGUUAAGUAGGGUGUGAAAGCCCCCGGCUCAACCGGGGAAUUGCGCCCUAAACUGGCGGACUGGAGUGAGAUAGGGGUGUGCGGAACUUCCGGUGGAGCGGUGAAAUGUGUUGAUAUCGGAAGGAACGCCGGUGGCGAAAGCGGCACACUGGAUCUCNACUGACGCUGAGGCACGAAAGCCAGGGGAGCGAACGGGAUUAGAUAC